GACGAACGCUGGCGGCGUGCUUAACACAUGCAAGUCGAACGAUGAAGCCAGCUUGCUGGUGGAUUAGUGGCGAACGGGUGAGUAACACGUGGGUGAUCUGCCCCAAACUUUUGGAUAAGCCUGGGAAACUGGGUCUAAUACCGAAUAUGACCGAUACUCGCAUGGGUGUUGGUGGAAAGCUCCGGCGGUUUGGGAUGGGCCCGCGGCCUAUCAGCUUGUUGGUGGGGUAAUGGCCUACCAAGGCGACGACGGGUAGCCGGCCUGAGAGGGCGACCGGCCACACUGGGACUGAGACACGGCCCAGACUCCUACGGGAGGCAGCAGUGGGGAAUAUUGCACAAUGGGCGCAAGCCUGAUGCAGCGACGCCGCGUGAGGGAUGACGGCCUUCGGGUUGUAAACCUCUUUCACCAGGGACGAAGCGAAAGUGACGGUACCUGGAGAAGAAGCACCGGCCAACUACGUG
RNAcentral lists this ribosomal RNA (464 nucleotides) under uncultured bacterium. Its description in RNAcentral is "partial 16S ribosomal RNA". It matches the Rfam family "Bacterial small subunit ribosomal RNA", at positions 28 to 507 of the family's 1533-position model. The record is from RNAcentral.